Molecule: ribosomal RNA, 263 nt
Filed under: uncultured bacterium
Lineage: Bacteria
Description: partial 16S ribosomal RNA
Rfam family: Bacterial small subunit ribosomal RNA
Source: RNAcentral
GUCCACGCCCUAAACGAUGUCGACUAGGUGUUGGGGAAGCGAUUCCUUGGUACCGUAGCUAACGCGUGAAGUCGACCGCCUGGGGAGUACGGCCGCAAGGUUAAAACUCAAAGGAAUUGACGGGGACCCGCACAAGCGGUGGAUGAUGUGGAUUAAUUCGAUGCAACGCGAACAACCUUACCUACCCUUGACAUGUCCGGAAGCCUGCUGAAAGGCGGGGUGCCCGAAAGGGAACCGGAACACAGGUGCUGCAUGGCUGUCGU